RNAcentral lists this ribosomal RNA (261 nucleotides) under Acinetobacter sp. RNAcentral's name for it is "partial 16S ribosomal RNA". It matches the Rfam family "Bacterial small subunit ribosomal RNA", at positions 18 to 281 of the family's 1533-position model. Lineage: Bacteria; Pseudomonadati; Pseudomonadota; Gammaproteobacteria; Moraxellales; Moraxellaceae. The record is from RNAcentral.
CCUGGCUCCAGAUUGAACGCUGGCGGCAGGCUAACACAUGCAAGUCGAGCGGGGGAAGGUAGCUUGCUACUGGACCUAGCGGCGGACGGGUGAGUAAUGCUUAGGAAUCUGCCUAUUAGUGGGGGACAACAUCUCGAAAGGGAUGCUAAUACCGCAUACGUCCUACGGGAGAAAGCAGGGGAUCUUCGGACCUUGCGCUAAUAGAUGAGCCUAAGUCGGAUUAGCUAGUUGGUGGGGUAAAGGCCUACCAAGGCGACGAUC